GUCCACGCCUUAAACGAUGAAUACUAGACGUUGGGGUUAAACUCAGUGUCGCAGCUAACGCAUUAAGUAUUCCACCUGGGGAGUACGAUCGCAAGGUUGAAACUCAAAGGAAUUGACGGGGGCCCGCACAAGCAGUGGAGCAUGUGGUUCAAUUCGAUGCAACGCGAAGAACCUUACCUAGGCUUGACAUGCUAGCUAAAGCGAAUGAAAGUUCGUGUCCCGCAAGGGGAGCUAGUACAGAUGCUGCAUGGCUGUCGU
This 258-nucleotide ribosomal RNA is filed under the name uncultured bacterium. Its description in RNAcentral is "partial 16S ribosomal RNA". It matches the Rfam family "Bacterial small subunit ribosomal RNA", at positions 793 to 1055 of the family's 1533-position model. The record is from RNAcentral.